This 94-nucleotide small nucleolar RNA is filed under the name Aspergillus wentii DTO 134E9. Its description in RNAcentral is "A. fimigatus snoRNA Afu_298". It matches the Rfam family "A. fimigatus snoRNA Afu_298". Lineage: Eukaryota; Fungi; Ascomycota; Eurotiomycetes; Eurotiales; Aspergillaceae. The record is from Rfam by way of RNAcentral.
GCGGAUGAUUAUACAAUUUUUAACUCGUAGCGUUCAUGGGAAUGCUUUGAAGAUCAAAAAUAGCAACAACAAACACUCUAAUUUUUUGCUGACG